Molecule: ribosomal RNA, 445 nt
Filed under: uncultured bacterium
Lineage: Bacteria
Description: bacterial SSU rRNA
Rfam family: Bacterial small subunit ribosomal RNA
Source: RNAcentral
CCUACGGGUGGCAGCAGUGGGGAAUAUUGCACAAUGGGCGCAAGCCUGAUGCAGCAACGCCGCGUGAGGGAUGAAGGCCUUCGGGUUGUAAACCUCUUUUAGCAGGGAAGAAGCGAAAGUGACGGUACCUGCAGAAAAAGCACCGGCUAACUACGUGCCAGCAGCCGCGGUAAUACGUAGGGUGCAAGCGUUGUCCGGAAUUAUUGGGCGUAAAGAGCUCGUAGGCGGUUUGUCACGUCUGCUGUGAAAAUCCAAGGCUCAACCUUGGACUUGCAGUGGGUACGGGCAGGCUAGAGUGCGGUAGGGGAGAUGGGAAUUCCUGGUGUAGCGGUGGAAUGCGCAGAUAUCAGGAGGAACACCAAUGGCGAAGGCACAUCUCUGGGCCGUAACUGACGCUGAGGAGCGAAAGCGUGGGGAGCGAACAGGAUUAGAUACCCUAGUAGUC